Molecule: small RNA, 286 nt
Filed under: Herbaspirillum sp. Sphag64
Lineage: Bacteria; Pseudomonadati; Pseudomonadota; Betaproteobacteria; Burkholderiales; Oxalobacteraceae
Also listed under: 1 other name
Description: 5' ureB small RNA
Rfam family: 5' ureB small RNA
Source: Rfam by way of RNAcentral
CUUCCUCGAUCUGCUGCGGACAGAUGAAGUGAAUGUGGGUAUCAACCCCACCAGCGGUCACGAUCAUGCCUUCACCGGCAAUGAUCUCGGUUGCGCCACCGAUGGCCAUGGUGACAUUCGGUUGAAUAUCGGGGUUGCCGGCUUUGCCGAUUCCGGCGAUCUUGCCACCCUUGAUACCGAUGUCGGCCUUCACGAUGCCCCAGUGAUCAAUGAUCACGGCAUUGGUGAUGACCGUAUCCAUCACGUCAUGAUGGUUACGUUGUGAUUGCCCCAUACCAUCGCGAAU